This 152-nucleotide non-coding RNA is filed under the name uncultured Pelagophyceae. Lineage: Eukaryota; Pelagophyceae. The record is from RNAcentral.
ACGAGAACGACGUUAGAGUCGCCUCUUACAAGAGAUGGCUUCGUCGUCCGACUGGCAGGAGAGGCGUCCGUCGGGACCGAGGUGGUCGGCCCAGUUGCUGCGGCCCUCGCGGAAGAGGACGGUGCGACCGGUGAGGCUGUCGACCAGACCGG